Molecule: long non-coding RNA, 339 nt
Filed under: Nicotiana benthamiana
Lineage: Eukaryota; Viridiplantae; Streptophyta; Magnoliopsida; Solanales; Solanaceae
Description: long non-coding RNA (NBEN_LNC030772)
Source: RNAcentral
UCAAUUGCUAAUCUUCUAUCAUAAUUGAGUCCUUGAAGAUCUCAAACUCAAACACUAUCUUUAUCCCGGAUUGUCUUCUCUUAAUAUAAGGAGAUUUUCUCUCCUUAUCUAAUAUGCAACCUUUUCGAUCAGAUAAGGACAUAUUGCUGCUUGAUCAGUAUGACUUAUCUCCCUCACGUGUACCUUGCAUGCAUAGGUUGAUCAUAACUGUGCUUCAUAUGAUGGACAUGGUCCAUGUUUGAGUUCAUUUGUCAUUCUUCAAAACUUCACAUGUUCUUCGGCCAACAAAUUUCCCCUUUUUGAUGAUGACAAAGUCCAUGCUUUUCACUGAUUUGGGAC